Molecule: transfer RNA, 87 nt
Filed under: Sphaerodactylus townsendi
Lineage: Eukaryota; Metazoa; Chordata; Lepidosauria; Squamata; Sphaerodactylidae
Description: tRNA-Ala
Source: RNAcentral
GCCAGGGACGUAAGACUGUGACUCAGUGGCAAAGCUUCUGUUUUGCAUGCAGAAGGUUGUGAGUUCAGUCCCCAGCAUUUCCUGGCA